AACAGGAUUAGAUACCCUGGUAGUCCACGCUGUAAACGAUGAAUGUUAAAUAUGGGGAGUUUACUUUCUGUAUUACAGCUAACGCGUUAAACAUUCCGCCUGGGGACUACGGUCGCAAGAUUAAAACUCAAAGGAGUUGACGGGGACCCGCACAAGCGGUGGAGCAUGUGGUUUAAUUCGAUGCAACGCGAAAAACCUUACCACUCCUUGACAUGGAAAUUAUACCUAUUCGAAGGGAUAGGGUCGGUUCGGCCGGAUUUCACACAGGUGUUGCAUGGCUGUCGUCAGCUCGUGUCGUGAGAUGUUGGGUUAAGUCCCGCAACGAGCGCAACCCUCAUCCUUAGUUACCAUCAGGUAAUGCUGGGGACUUUAAGGAAAUUGCCAGUGAUAAACUGGAGGAAGGUGGGGAUGAUGUCAAGUCAUCAUGGCCCUUAUGGAGUGGGCUACACACGUGCUACAAUGGUGGCUACAAUGGGCUGCAAAGUCGCGAGGCUAAGCUAAUCCCUUAAAAGCCAUCUCAGUUCGGAUUGUACUCUGCAACUCGAGUGCAUGAAGUUGGAAUCGCUAGUAAUCGUGGAUCAGCACGCCACGGUGAAUACGUUCUCGGGUCUUGUACACACUGCCCGUCACGCCAUGGGAAUUGGUUUCACUCGAAGCUAACGACCUAACCGCAAGGAGGGAGUUAUUUAAAGUGGGAUCGGUGACUGGGGUGAAGUCGUAACAAGGUA
RNAcentral lists this ribosomal RNA (728 nucleotides) under uncultured bacterium. RNAcentral describes it as "bacterial SSU rRNA". It matches the Rfam family "Bacterial small subunit ribosomal RNA", at positions 771 to 1498 of the family's 1533-position model. The record is from RNAcentral.